Molecule: long non-coding RNA, 604 nt
Organism: Neolamprologus brichardi
Lineage: Eukaryota; Metazoa; Chordata; Actinopteri; Cichliformes; Cichlidae
Source: RefSeq, a predicted model, not a curated record
GCAUCCUUUAUAAUCCGGACGAUAACCUCAGAGCAGUCCUUUUGCUGCCUGUCCUCUCGUGUGUUGCAGCAAGUGAAGGGCGUUCUUGUGAACUUUAUAAUGCGUAACCUCGGCGGUUCAUUCACCUUACCCGACAUGACCUACUCAGAUUAUCCCGCUGGAUGAAUACCUGUAUGAGCCAGCUGCGGAUGACUGAUGUGUUUCAGCAUGAUGCACUAGUGAUGCCAGUAGCUGUGUUAUUACAUGACUUGAGACGACAGCUGACAAGCAGUGUGCGAACAUAAGUAUGAAGGAUAUGUAUAAGGCAUGGGGUAAUAAAACCAGAGCUGUGAGAAGCUGAUGAGCUGUGGACAAACGCUGAGAAUGCUGAUAAUGGGUGGGAUGCAUUGUAAAAAGCAAAUGGAGCUUGGCCCAGUGGGACAUCUUCACUUCCUCUGUUGCCAAAGAAACCGAAGAGCAAGUUUGUAAUUGUCAUGUUGUGGUUUCAGUGCUGCAUUUAUAGCAGGUCUUCAUCUGCCACCAAGAUUUGUGUUGUAUAAACCUGACUACUACUACUUUUUUUUUUUCUUUUUUUUUAAAAUUUAAAUAAAAUUAUUCAACCGUA